GCAAUCACUCCCUUUCUACUACAGAGAGUUUCCCUUCAACUGGCCAAUGCCUCAGCAAAAAUCUGCAAUUUACAAGAAAAUCCAAUGAACUACACCACAAUGCCAGUAGAGAAGGAUCCAAUCCAACUCAAUUCACUGCCAACCCAACAACAAGAAACACUAUAAACAGUUUCCAAUCCCACUUCCAAAAGGCAUCAAUACAAGUACCUAACUAAUACAUUAACAUUGACCCUGGAGCAAGACAUAAAAUCCAUGAGAACUUUUCAACAGAUUCAAUAAGAUGAACAACAUUCAAUAAGCUGAAGAAAAGUUUUGCAUCUAUAGGAUUUUGUUAGCAGAUUUCAUCGCCAAAAUAUGUUUCAUCCAUACACUUGCAGAACUUCCCUAAGCCAAGUUGAUUCUGUAUUCAGUACAUUAACAAACAAUAUCUGUAAUUCUUCUGCCACCACCUAACAAGCCAGUUGGUGAGGAGUUUAAUCAUUUUGGCACGUUGUAGAUAUAAAAGAGAAGAAAUGGAAGCUCCAAUGAAUCUAUGUACUCAAGAGUACAAGUAUUUACAAACGCUUUUGGUCAGAAGAUUUCAAUCUCCACCAGCAAGGGAAGAAGAAACUGAUCUCCUUAUGUUCAAUGCUAAAUUCCCAUGCCACGUUUCCCAUUCGAGUUUAAACAAACGUUAGGAUUUCUCUGAAUAAAUUAUAGCCUCAAGAGCUAUGCAAAAAUAAUUCUUGAAGGAACAUUAACUGUAUGCACGAUCAAGAAAUGUCAUACUAACAUGAGUGAGCAGGAAUCCCUGGAGAAAAUGGACACAGAAUAUUUUUGUAGAAAGCAGAAGUUGGACAAUCAACCUGCUCCUUCAAGUCCACAGUGUCAACCUCAUGGCAGUGCACAUCCCUAUCUGUUCAAAAAUUCCUUCUCUAUAACACUAAAAAUCACCUUCAGCCGAUCUUCCAAAUUUGAGAGAAUGUUCUUUGUGAUCCUUUUCUGAUGCCUAGUGCUUUUCUGCCAUGCAAUUCCACUGAAUACGCGUACAUGACAGCCGUUUGGUCUUGAGGGCAAAUCCUCAAUUUGGUAUCUCAAGUGAAGAUUAAAAUUGUCACCAAGUGGAACUCCAUGGAGGGUUAUAACCUCUUCAACCAGCCAGCCUUUACGAUCAGAUAGGGGGUGUUUCUGCUGUGUACUAGUCACCUCUCCUCCAUAACGAGAGAUGCGCUGAUCAAAUCUGUAAUACAUUUGCCUCUCGUACACAUCAUCCUUCUCCAAUUCCCAUUGGGUGUGAGAAUAGUUAAGACAACCAGCUUUCUCCAUCGCUUUUCGCUCCAACUCACCGCCAUUGAACAGCUCCAUGAAGAAAUUGGUAGAGACAGAAACACCAGAAGAAUAAACCUCAGAUAAGUUGACAUCCUCAAGACCCAAGAAGGGCCCACUGUCUUCAGUUUGGAGGCUUUUAGCUUCUGAUUCUUCUUCAACUAUU
Molecule: unclassified non-coding RNA, 1471 nt
Filed under: Hevea brasiliensis (rubber tree)
Lineage: Eukaryota; Viridiplantae; Streptophyta; Magnoliopsida; Malpighiales; Euphorbiaceae
Source: RNAcentral